This 1980-nucleotide long non-coding RNA is filed under the name Cyanistes caeruleus (blue tit). Its description in RNAcentral is "lncRNA (ENSCCEG00000018700.1)". The record is from RNAcentral. Lineage: Eukaryota; Metazoa; Chordata; Aves; Passeriformes; Paridae.
GAACACCCCAGGAAUUGGGGAAGGGGAAUUCCCGGGAUGGGGAUGGGGGUGAACACCCCAGGAAUUGGGGAAGGGGAAUUCCCGGGAUGGGGAUUCCCGUGGGUUCCUCAUUCCUCGGGAAACCCCUCCCAAUCCAAGCAGGAAUCCCACCCCCAAUUCCAGCGGGAUCUUCCACGUUUUCAGGGAUAAAACUCAGCAAAAAAAAGGGAAAGAAUCCCCACAAACCCUUCCCGAAUGAUCCCUCCCCCAAUUUCAUGGGAAUUUGGGAUUUUGUUUUUUAAUUUUUAAUUGGAUUCAAACACACCAAACUCACAGAAAGGGCUGGGGGGGGGAGGGGGGGUCACUCCUCCCUGGCUGGAUUUGGGAAUUCUGGGAUUCGGGAACAGGGACCAGCCCAGGGGGAGGAGCAGCCCCCCCCAAAAAAAAGAGGGAAAAUGAUGAGCCUGGAUGAAUCCCAUGGGAUUUUUGGGGAGCCCGGUGGCACCUCCAGGCUGAUUCCUGGGGAUUUAAUUCCCAAAGGAAGGGGGGAAAACCCGGGAUUGGCGUUCCCAAGGAUUCCAGCGUUCCCAAGGGAGCUCAGCAUUCCCACAGGGAAUGUCACUCCCCCUCCCCAAGGCUCCUGAGCCCGGGACCAAAGAGGAAAAAGGGGUGGGAAAAGCAGGAAUUUCCCUUCUCCGGGUGGAUCUGGGGCUCCGGCAUCCCUGGGGACACCGGGAAUGUCACCGGUCCCCCUCGGGAAAAGCGGGAAUGGGGCUGGGGAGCGGCUCCCCCCCUUCCUUCCUGAGGGAUUUUCCCUCUUCCCGACCCCGCUGCUCCCAAAAUCCCGAGGCUGGAGCGGCGAUCCCGCUCUGGAAUCUUCUGGUGACGCCCUGGGAGCGUUUUCCAUGCGGUGGCUGCGGAAUUCCAAGGAGGGGGUGACAGGGACAGCCUGGCUUUUUCCAGGGAAUGUCACCUGGAGCCGCCUGGCACUGCUGUCCCCUCUCCCCCGGCCCCUGGAGAGGAUUUCCUCCUCCUCCCGGAGAGGAUUUUUCCCUCUUCCCAAUCCCAAAGGGACAAGGAUAGCCCCAGUCCCAAAGGGAAUGGGAGCAGGGAUAUCCCAAUCCCAAAAAAAACAGGAGCAGGGAUUUCCAGGGAUAUCCCAAUCCCAAAGGAAAUGGCACCAGGGAUAUCCCAAUCCCAAGGGAUUUCAGGGAGAUCCCAAUCCUAAAAGAAAUGGGAGCAGGGAUAUCUCAAUCCCAAAGGAAACGGGAGCAGGGAGAUCCCAAUCCCAAAGGAAAUGGGACCAGGGAGAUCCCAAUCCCAAGGGAUUUCAGGGAUUUCCCAAUCCCAAAAGAAAUGAGAGCAGGAUUUCAGGGAUUUCCCAAUCCCAAAGGAAACGUGAGCAGGGAGAUCCCAAUCCCAAAGGAAAUGGGAGCAGGGAGAUCCCAAUCCCAAGGGAUUUCAGGGAUUUCCCAAUCCCAAAAGAAAUGGGAGCAGGAUUUCAGGGAUUUCCCAAUCCCAAAGGAAACAGGAGCAGGGAUUUCCAAAGAUACCCCAAACCAAUCCCAAAGGAAACGGGAGCAGGGAUUUCAGGGAUAGCCAAAUCCCAAAGAGAAUGGCACCAGGGAGAUCCCAAACCCACGGGAUUUCAGGGAGAUCCCAAUCCCAAAAGAAAUGAGAGCACGGAUUUCAGGGAUAGCCCAAUCCCAAGGGAUUCCAGGGAGAUCCCAAAGGAUUUCAGGGAUAGCCCAAUCCCAAAGGAAAUGGCACCAGGGAUACCCCAAUCCCAAAGGAUUUCAGGGAGAUCCCAAUCCCAAAGGAAAUGGCAUCAGGGAGAUCCCAAUCCCAAGGGAUUCCAGGGAUAUCCCAAUCCCAAGGGAUUCCAGGGAGAUCCCAAUCCCAAGGGAUUCCAGGGAGAUCCCAAAGGAUUUCAGGGAUACCCCAAUCCCAAGGGAUUCCAGGGAUAUCCCAAGGGAUUCCAGGGCUAUCCCAAUCCCAAGG